GCGGGCCCGGGAGGUCUAGCCUGCGAGUCAUUGUAGCAAUACAAGGCAGACGGCUCAGUAACGCGUAGUCAACCUAACCUAUGGACGGGAAUAACCUCGGGAAACUGAGAAUAAUGCCCGAUAGAACAUUAUGCCUGGAAUGGUUUAUGUUCCAAAUGAUUUAUCGCCGUAGGAUGGGACUGCGGCCUAUCAGUUUGUUGGUGAGGUAAUGGCCCACCAAGACUAUUACAGGUACGGGCUCUGAGAGGAGUAGCCCGGAGAUGGGUACUGAGACACGGGCCCAGGCCCUAUGGGGCGCAGCAGUCGCGAAAACUCCGCAAUGCGCGCAAGCGCGACGGGGCUAUCCCGAGUGCCGUCCGCUGAGGAUGGCUUUUCUCAGGUGUAAUGAGCCUGAGGAAUAAGGGGAGGGCAAGACUGGUGUCAGCCGCCGCGGUAAUACCAGCUCCCCGAGUGGUGGGGGUGAUUAUUGGGCCUGAAGCGUCCGUAGCCGGCUCGGUAAGUCUUCCGUUAAAUCCAACGAUCUAAUCGUUGGGCCGCGGGAGAUACUGUCGGGCUAGGGGACGGGAGAAGCCGACGGUACUUCUGGGGUAGGGGUGAUAUCCUAUAAUCCUAGGAGGACCACCAGUGGCGAAGGCGGUCGGCUAGAACGCGCCCGACGGUGAGGGACGAAAGCUGGGGGAGCGAACCGGAUUAGAUACCCGGGUAGUCCCAGCUGUAAACGAUGCGGGCUAGGUGUUGGGGUGGCUACGAGCCACUUCAGUGCCGCAGGGAAGCCAUUAAGCCCGCCGCCUGGGGAGUACGGCCGCAAGGCUGAAACUUAAAGGAAUUGGCGGGGGAGCACCACAAGGCGUGAAGCUUGCGGUUCAAUUGGAGUCAACGCCGGG
RNAcentral lists this ribosomal RNA (884 nucleotides) under uncultured archaeon. RNAcentral describes it as "bacterial SSU rRNA". It matches the Rfam family "Archaeal small subunit ribosomal RNA", at positions 33 to 922 of the family's 1478-position model. The record is from RNAcentral.